AAAAGAACUACAUUAUCGUUUUAGCAUAAUAAAAAUUUCUUCAAAGACCAAAACAACUAUGUGUUUAUUUUAUUUUUUACUAAUCCAAAAAUGGAUGUGGUGACAAAUUCAACUUAGUCAAUGCAAGUUAUACGAGAAAUUUAUCAAAGAGAAAGCCUAGGGAAUGAAUUCACCUGCUGUCAACAAAGUUUCUCAAAUUAUAUGGUAGUUUUAUCAAUUUUUCCGAAGUUAUAAGUAAAACCCUGAAUUAAUUUUAAUCCCUCUCUCAAGUGCCAAAUAGAAUCUAUCUCUAUAUUUCAAUUCCAAUUCCAAUAUCUCGAUUCCCAGUUGAAAUCUAAAAGUUAUCAAUUUCAUGGUUCUUAAGUGAAGCAUGCUUCAAAGAUUUUAUAUUUUCUCUCGAAACCUACAAAACAUAAAUGUCCUAUUCUUAGAUCAUGCAUAAAUUUUUCUCUAUUAAAUGUCGAAAUUUAAAACAUCAAAUCAUUCAAUUAUUGAUCACACAAUUGAAAAGCAUUAAGCAAGAAUCAACACAAGUAAACUUAAGGAAAAACUAAUAAAAGCAACUAUAAUAAAAUCAAAACGUGUCUAAAGUAGGUUAAUCAAACCGUAGUUCUAAUAAUUUAGCUCAUGAAUAAGAAAAAAGACAUAGUCCAAUCCAGUAUGAAGAAUGUGGAGAAGAAAAGAAUAAGAAAAACUAAUUUGUUGUGUGAAUUCACCUCUUUGAUGUUGUCUUCAUUCCUCUAGAUCAAUCUAUUGCUUUCUUAUCUCUUCCCUUGUUGAAGUCCUUAGGGUUGUAUAUAUAGUCUUCUCUAGUCUUCUAUGAAUUAGGGAUGGAUUGGGCCUUAAAAAAAUCCGCAAAAAUUAAAAAACUUCUCGACAGUCAGUGCCUUGACACUGCAUUCGCCACGUCAUGGCCCUGUGAUGUUACCUUUACUGGUGCUACUGUUUCGGUCUUCUACCUCCUGCAACAGCAGCAUUGGCUUCCUAUCAUUUUUCCUCUGUAGUGAUCGGGCAUUGCGAAGCCCUUUUUCUAACUUGUUUUCUUCUCCUUGCUUUGAUUAUUUUCCUUCCCAUCUUUUAAGAUAAUUCUAAGUCCAUUCCCAUCCUGCCACACUCUAUAAACUUUGGCUCUUUUUCAUGCUCCAAAAUCACCAUUUUCGCGAAGUUAACUAAGAUGUAACACAACACGAACACACACAUCAAAUUGUUCUAAAUUGCUUGAAGACAACCAAAAUAUCAUGUUUAGUGGCGUUAUACUGUGAGUGAAACUCACUCAUCAAACACCCCCAAACAUGAUUCUUUGCUAGUCCUCAAGCAAACAUAAAGCAAAAGUGAAGAACUAAUCUACACUAACACACUUAAACAAAAAAAAGUCACCUAAAACAUAUUUAGUUAGCUAGCUUGCCUUUAUAGCUCAGUAUUGAAAACAUUAUAUCAAAUCCAUAAACUAUUUCAAUAUUAUAAUGCAACAGCUAAAUUUUUACUCAUCCAAUGCAAAAUGAGUAUGUGUGAAUAAUUAAUUGCAAUGUUAUACAUUUAAAAGUUGAUCCAAUUCUUGACCUUAAAAGUCAAAAUAUUUGCUUUCUUUUCUCAUAGGUUUCACACCCCCUAAACUUGUUUUCUUUUGCUAAAUUCCUAAGGGUGCAUUCUAAAGUUUAUUUCUAAAUUUUCAUUUCUUAUACGUCUCAAAUUUGGUUUUUCUAACUGGUGACGUCCACAAUUUAUGCAUUUGAUGAUCCUCCCAAAUUAUGAGUGCUUCAUGAUCAAGUUUAUAUGGAACAAGUCAAACCCACUAGUUAUCUAAGCCCUAACAAUUUAGUCACUAUUGCACAUUUAAUUGCUUAUUUUCAUAUUGUCUUUUAAGAGCAAGAUUAGGCUCACCAUUUUUUCUCUUCUUUAUCCCUAUAACAAGCUUUUAGUCAAUAACUCUUCAACUUUUUAGGCCAUAGAGUUUCAAGAGACCCCAAAAGACUUACGAACUUUGGUAAAAAAGGCGCCGGUGUGAGUUAGAGUCAAAAAGUGCAAUGCUCAUUUUUUGCACAAGAAAAUAAAAAUAAAAAGGUUAGAUCUCUAGCAUGCAGUCAUCACCUAGCUUAUACUUGAGAGUUUAAGACACUCUACAUAGCAUUUUUCUUCAACAUGCAUGGAAUCAUCACAAGCUUAAGUCAUAUCUUUCGCAGGCUCAAACACCCCAAAUUGUCCCCUAGAAGGUCUUAUAUGGUGAAUUAUAAGUUUCGGGGUUAAGCAUCUAAGUUCUUUUCUCAAUCCAUAAGUAUGAAAAAUCUUAUUCAUGUACGCUACAAUCAAUUCAUGUGCAUAUUUAAUUUCACAUUUCACAUGAAUAAGCAAAAAUUUCAACUAAUACACAUAACUCCAUUUCAAUUCAUAAACCAACAUAUGUUUUCAAUUCUAUACAUCAUGGCCAACAAGAUUAACUAACUCACACAAGCAUGCAACAAUGAGUAAAUCACAUGAAGUAAAAAAAUUCACACAUAUACUUUACUAAAUAAGUAAGUUACUUAGAUGAUUAAUUACCCUCCCAACUUAAAGUGAACAUUGUCCCCAACAUAUAAUGAAAGAAAAAUGAAGGGUAUUUGACUAGCAUGAAGAUAUUAAUUGUCUUCGACGUUAUUGGUGUCUCGGCUAGGCGGAGCUAGAAAGGUAGAAUGGUAUGAAAAUAAUGACGGUUGAGGAAAAGGCUAAUCAGGUAAUAUGGAUGUCAAAGCAUUUUUGAACUCAUUCUAAUAGUGAAAUUGGUCACACAUGGAGUUCUGAAUAUGAUUCAAUUGCAGUCAUGUCCUAUCCUGCCAUUAUGUCAUUUGCAGGUGCAUGGCUUGAAGUUGACUAGCAAUGUUAGUACUACUAUCCUUGACUGGUGGAGGUACUUGUAAUGGUUGAGAAGCAUUGGACGAGCCCUAAUGACUUAGGAACCAUUCUAUUAUGGCCCCGUGUAAGAGCUGGUCUAGGUCAAACUACCUCCUUUGACCACGAUACCCCUCUUAUACAUACAUCACGGAUCAAUGAGGGGUGUCCUAAACUCGAAGUUGGAAAGUUGAUAACAAUAGUGGAUGAUUGUUUCGAUUUGGUCAUUUUCUUGGCCAAUACACUGAGAAUUCUCUCAGACUCAGCACCUUUUCCAUGGAUUUUGGAGUAAUCAUCAUUAGGUGUGUCUAGAAUUUUAUAGUAGUAGUUGAUAGAUGAACUGUCAAAAGGAACUCAUUUCCCUCUCAUGAAGACUUUUAAAUCUCGAUGCUCUACGACAUUAGCAUAAAAUUCCCUGAAGAAUAUGUUAGAGGUGGAACUGGGUUGUUUAGAAAAUACCUACCAAUUUCUACUAGCAAUUUGUUGCUCCAUGCAGUUCUUAAUGCCUCUUUCCUUAAUACAAUUCAUAUGGAGCACCAUGUUGGUAUAUCUCUCUGCUUCCCUGGGACUAGUAAACCUCAUUUUAUCCUAUAGAAUGGAAGAAGAAGACUCCAAGGAUUUAGAUUUCUUCAUAGGUGGCAUUUUAAGCCUCCCAGUUUCAACAAGUCAUUAUGUCCAAAAAACUACAAACAAGGGCAACUUAACCGCUGUCAAUAGAGCAACCAUAAGGUGAGACCAACAAUAAUCCCCAAAGUCGAACAACCUCAAUGUAAAGAACUAAGAGACCCUAACUAAUCACCAAAAACUCCAUGAAAGUCACUAGGAAAUUUUCAAAAACAUCUUAUGAGUGACAAUUCAACCCUAUAUAGUUCACAAAUUAAUUUCUCCCAAACUUCUAAUAUAACCUGCAACAGAUAAUCAACUCAUCACCAAAGUAAAUAACCAAAGUGCCCAACAACAAUUCCAAAUUUUUAUCACUCAAUCCAAAGAUAAGAAACCACUACUAUCAGGAGAAAAAUCCCUUGUUUUGAUAGAGUAGCUAAAGCCCAAUUAGCCUUUGAUUGCAAGAACAACUCUAAUUUCUCGGGUAAGUUGAUUAGUGAAGGAAAGUUAGAAGUUUUGUGGGUGAAAAUUGGGAAAUGAAAUCAAGCCCAAGGUUUAUGAGAAGGGGCAAAAAUCUUAUAAAUUGGGUGUAGGUUUAAUGGGUUGUGUGGAGUAAUGAAGGGAUAAACUAGUGAAUGAAGAGUGUUGAAGUAAUUCUUGGUGAAAUUCGAAGGAAAAGUGGUAAAAGGGGAUGAAGAAAAACAAAAUCUGGGUUUGGAGAGAGAGAGAGUUGUGGAUUUCGUGUAGGAGAGAAUGGGGGUU
Molecule: long non-coding RNA, 4227 nt
Filed under: Olea europaea (common olive)
Lineage: Eukaryota; Viridiplantae; Streptophyta; Magnoliopsida; Lamiales; Oleaceae
Description: long non-coding RNA (OEUR_LNC014072)
Source: RNAcentral